CAGGCUAAAUGAAAAACAAUCACUGUAUAAUGUGUCCCCUGCUGUAUAGUCCAAAACCACUGCACGAUGUCUCUGUGCACCAAAUACUGGCAAGAUGGCACCGUGUUGAAAAGUCCAAACAGUGUCUGUGAGUUAAAAUGGCCGCCAUCCAUUGUUCUGACCAUGUGCUUCUGAUACAGGAAAUGGUGGCCACCCAGUAACUCCACAGUAUGUCCCCAGAUGGUUCUUAAAGGGCCAGCAGCAGCACAACACAAAUCCAUUAUGCCCAAAUCAUGUCUUUAAAGGGCAAUACAUCCCAGGGGCCAUAGUUACAGGGCAAGAGGCGGGCAAGCAGU
RNAcentral lists this long non-coding RNA (335 nucleotides) under Pelobates cultripes (western spadefoot toad). Lineage: Eukaryota; Metazoa; Chordata; Amphibia; Anura; Pelobatidae. The record is from RNAcentral.